AGAGUUUGAUCAUGGCUCAGAUUGAACGCCGGCGGUAUGCUUAACACAUGCAAGUCGAACGGUAACAGUCCCUCCCCUAGAAAUUUCUUAAAAAGAGAUUUGUAGGUGAGGGAGCUGACGAGUGGCGGACGGGUGCGUAAUGUAUAGGAAUCUGCCUAGUAGUGGGGGACAACUCGGAGAAAUUCGAGCUAAUACCGCAUAAGCCCUCCGGGGGAAAACGGGGGAUCUUCGGACCUCGUGCUAUUAGAUGAGCCUAUAUUAGAUUAGCUUGUCGGUGAGGUAAUGGCUCACCAAGGCGACGAUCUAUAGCUGGUCUGAGAGGAUGAUCAGCCACACUGGGACUGGGACACGGCCCAGACCCCUACGGGAGGCAGCAGUGGGGAAUAUUGGACAAUGGGCGAAAGCCUGAUCCAGCAAUACCGCGUGUGUGAAGAAGGCCUGAGGGUUGUAAAGCACUUUCAAUUGGGAGGAAUACCUAAUAGUUAAUAGCUAUUAGAUUGAC
Molecule: ribosomal RNA, 502 nt
Filed under: uncultured bacterium
Lineage: Bacteria
Description: bacterial SSU rRNA
Rfam family: Bacterial small subunit ribosomal RNA
Source: RNAcentral